This 540-nucleotide unclassified non-coding RNA is filed under the name Hevea brasiliensis (rubber tree). Lineage: Eukaryota; Viridiplantae; Streptophyta; Magnoliopsida; Malpighiales; Euphorbiaceae. The record is from RNAcentral.
AAGCUUGUUUGGGAAGUUCUUGAAGGUGGUCUGAAGAGUAAGAUAGAAAUCCAGUGGUCUGACAUUAUGGGUCUGAAAGCCAACUGUCCUGAUAAUGCACCUGGGACAUUGACUGUUGUGCUGGCUAGACAGCCUCUUUUCUUUAGGGAGACUAAUCCACAGCCCCGAAAGCACACCUUAUGGCAGGCGACAGCAGAUUUUACUGAUGGACAGGCUAAAGGACACAGGCAACAUUUUCUGCAAUGUCCACAAGGGCUGUUAAAUAAACAUUUUGAAAAGCUCGUCCAGUGUGACAUCCGUUUGAACUUUUUAAGUCGACAGCCAGAGAUAAUUUUGGAUUCACCGUAUUUUGAACAGCGUUCAUCUGUUUUUGAGGAUCCAGAUGAAUCAAAAGGUCAUGAUUUUAAUCAGGUGGAGACUGGUAAAGGAUCCUCUAUUUCGGGUUUCCAAGAUCUAGCAUCACCAUCUGCCGCUCACUCAUCUUCCUUAGAGUUUGAAAAGGGGGAUCAUGCUGGUACAUCAUCAGAGCACAUGUCCCGA